GACGAACGCUGGCGGCGCGCUUAACACAUGCAAGUCGAACGGGAAGGCCUGCUUUCCCUUGUGGAUUGCGGGUACUCGAGUGGCGAACGGGUGAGUAACACGUGAGUGAUCUGCCCCCAACUUGGGUAUAAGCCUGGGAAACUGGGUCUAAUUCCCGAUAGGACUGCAGGGUGGUGCCUGUGGUGGAAAACGAUUUUCUAGUGGUUGGGGAUGAGCUCGCGGCCUAUCAGCUUGUUGGUGGGGUAAUGGCCUACCAAGGCGGCGACGGGUAGCCGGCCUGAGAGGGUGGACGGCGACAUUGGGACUGAGAUACGGCCCAGACUCCUACGGGAGGCAGCAGUGGGGAAUAUUGCACAAUGGGCGGAAGCCUGAUGCAGCGACGCCGCGUGGGGGAUGACGGCCUUCGGGUUGUAAACUCCUUUCGACCGCGAGGAAGCCGCCUGGUUGGAAGGGUGGUGACGGUAGUGGUAGAAGAAGCACCGGCUAACUACGUG
RNAcentral lists this ribosomal RNA (494 nucleotides) under uncultured bacterium. RNAcentral's name for it is "partial 16S ribosomal RNA". It matches the Rfam family "Bacterial small subunit ribosomal RNA", at positions 28 to 507 of the family's 1533-position model. The record is from RNAcentral.